This 2528-nucleotide long non-coding RNA is filed under the name Orussus abietinus. RNAcentral describes it as "uncharacterized LOC105695122". Lineage: Eukaryota; Metazoa; Arthropoda; Insecta; Hymenoptera; Orussidae. The record is from RNAcentral.
ACCGGACCAACGAAUCCUGGUCUGGUUAUAUUUAGUCAGCCGAGCCGCGAACAGGGACCGCCACUGAGAGCGAGAAGAGAGAGACGGGCAAAAACCUGGUCACGGACGCGCGACAGGGCCUGGCGCGAACGAAUGAGAUAGAGAGAGAAGGCCCGACGCGCCGCGCGAAGGAGCGAGCGAGAGAGCGAGUACGUGAUUGGGUGAGUAACUACGUACGUGAGUAAGCGAUCGAGUGAAUAAGCGAAUGCGUUAACCGAACGAGCAAGUGAGACAAGUCGCGACAGGCUUUGGGGGGGGGAACCAAACAACAAAGAUGGAAAGACGCGGCGAUCCGAAAAGUGCGACGAGGUUAGGUCGCCGUCGCGAGCACGUUUCGUCCGAGCGCGACGUAGAUAUAAUUCGAGAGACUGGAAGAAAGAGAUAUAAAAGAAACGGUCCGAUGGGUUAUUAAGGGAAUUACGGGGAAUCAAGUCACGUGAGAGAAAAGGAGCGCCAAUCCCGCUUCCGAGGGCGACUUCGACGCGCAUGCGCGGGGAUGCAAUCACGGAAGGGACGCGUCCACGUUUCCGGGUAUUGGGAUGGCUAACCUGAAUCGGGAUUGGUAAUUCGUAUAAAAGAAUCUAGUCAGUGUCGGUCUGCGCUCCGGUGACGCCGUAACCUGCGAUAUGGCCGGGAUGGAAUUGAGGUUAGGUCGGCUCGCUCGCUCGGCUGACCGUUCGCGUUUUCGUUCCGCACUCGACCGCGAAAAUCGCGUUUCAGGGCGCCGGGAGUGAUCUCGGCCCUGACCGUUCCGCUCUUUGUUUUCGACGCGACGACGCGAUUUGACGACAGGUUCGACGCACUGCGAGCGACUAAGAGAGGUUAGGACUCGCUCGCGCACUCGGAACGCUGGCCAGGGCUGACCAGGAGAGAGAGAGAGAGAGACGGAGAGACAGCGCUCGCCGGCCGUGAGAAAAGGACGGAGAUAGGGGCCGGUUUGCCGGAGAGGGAAACAAGUGAAAGAAAGCCGGGGCAUCCGACGCAAAGGGCGCGAUGGAAAGCGAAGGAGAGCGAGAGAGAGGAGGCGAGGCACGCAAUCGGCGAGGACACUUGGGGGCGGAGAGAGUGAGAGAGACGGAAAUAGGGAAUUCCUCAAAGAAUCCAGAUGAAUUUCUAUGCCACGCAUUCUUCGACACUAGGGAUGAAGACAAUGGAAAACAAAGGAGAAAGAGAUGGACAUUGGAAUUCUUCAGAGAGUUUAGGGAAAACGUGGCUUCGCGGUGCAGCGUAAUGUGAGCCCUGGAUUUUCCUGUAAAGCGGAUUAAUCGCCACGAAGAGAGCCGAGACCUCGUGAGCCCUGGAUUUUCCUCUAAACGGGAUUAAUCACCGCGAAGCACGUGGGGCAUCGCCCACAGUCGGCACGUUAAUACAAACUCCUCUCUUCGAGAUCUCUUCGAGUGAUUUCACCGAGCCAGCAAAGGCGGCCAUUUAGCUGGUGAUUUAGCAUCGAUUGGCAAUUCCCCCAGAGCCGAAGGAAAUCAAUUACGAGAAGGUCGAGGCGGAAACUCCGAAUGGACAUCUAGAAGCGCAUUCGAUCAUAGACCGAAGGUUUCUAGGGUUUCCGACCUACUUGAAGGUUUCGCGCUACCUUUAGUCGUGGCAAUUGAUUAGUCCUAUCACCGCCGCCGUUAUCGGCGUUGCUUUCGCCCCUUAUCAGCCCCCCUUAACGGGCGAAGGUCCGCGAUAACGCGGAACCGUGUCUCCCAUUAUUACCGAUUACAUAUUCAAGACGGAGCGCGAAGCGAAAAGGAAAAAAGGAAUAAAUAGAAUGCCUGUAACUCGGUAGAAGUGAAACUUCUUCGUUUUGGAUGAAAGGGUGGUUAUUCAGCCAGCAGUAAUUCAAACGUUUCAUUUCAUUUAGACGAUUCGAUGAAUUACCACCAAUUUUCUGUCCCUUUCAUCUGAAACAAUGAAGUCUCACUUCUAUCGAGUGCCAGGCUUUCUUCUAUUUCCUAUUUCAUUAGUAUUAUUAGUAUUAUUUCAUAGUAUCUCUCUUUACGUGUGUACGCAUCUUCAUGUCACGUUGCGUAUGUCAAAAAUUGAAAAAGAAGAACCAUUGAAGUUUAACGGUGGCCAAACUGGUCACGGAUUUUCCUUCGAGAAAAUUGAGGGGAACCCCUUUUCCAACAUUUCGUGCAUUUUUCCACUUAAACCGCCGUGCAACUACUUUCUAUACACACUACACCGAGAAAAAGAAUCCAUUGAACCAAACAUGACAUCUCAUCGACAGUGUCAAAAUAUAUAUUUCGUUAAUUGAAAGGAUAUUUAUUUGACAGAAACUGAAAUAAAUUGCCGUAAUUCCGAAGGGACGUUGGGUCCAAUUCAUUCGAGUUUAUUCCAGUCAAAUGAUUAUUCUUUGAAUUAAAAAAACAUUUCUCUGGUUCAAUGAUUUUUUUUCCUUUUUUUUUUUCUUUUCUUAAAGUAGUAAUACUACCCCUACUAAUAAGAUAAGCCGACACAGAACAAAGCACAGAGUUUCUCUGUAGGAG